Long non-coding RNA from Anolis carolinensis (green anole), 1063 nucleotides. RefSeq lists it as uncharacterized. Lineage: Eukaryota; Metazoa; Chordata; Lepidosauria; Squamata; Anolidae. The record is from RefSeq and is a predicted model, not a curated record. The transcript is spliced from 2 exons.
UGGUUGAGCCUUCUGGCUCCGGUACUAGGAGACGGGGUCGUAAGACUCCUCGAGAGUCAGACUCUUUUGAGGAGCGUGAAAGGAAACGGCUCCGGGACUUAUUUGCAGAACCAACAGAUGAGGACUCUUUUGAGGGUUUUACCGAGGGAAUGGAGGAAGAAAUGGUCAGCUCGGAGGAGGAUGACAUGGAGUGGACUCGUGUGAGGGAGGAUUUGGGUGUCACCGGCAAUGAAAGCUUGGGGAGCGAUUGGCGGGUUGCAGGAUCAGACCCAUGGACGGGCUGGAGGGAUGGAGCGGGAUCCACAGCUGGGGAUGCUGUGGGGCGUAGUCAAAGGUGUUUUAGCUCUGAUGAGGAUGAUGAUGAUGAGGCACCUGGGAUUAGAAUGGCAGCUGACAGCGAUGAUGAGUUUGAACUGGGAUAAAAUGGGGUUUAGGAUCAAUGUCUAAUUGCGUUGGGCAAGGUAAUCUGGACGAACGCUUGGGCUCUUGUUGGGGAACUUCCUGAAGACGGGUGUGAUUCGUUGCUGGAUACCUUGGACCUCCGUCGUCUUUUUGACGGACAUUAAUUACCUACUCUGGAUUGACGCUGGACUGACUGACUUCGACCCCGGAUUAUCCCUUCUGUGGCUAUCGGUGGGACUUGUGGAAUUCUAGACGUCUGCACUUGGCUUUCGACCUUGGACCGGAUUGAGACCCUGCUGACUGCCAUUACCCUGAUUGAUGUGCCUGGACCCGGAUUUCGCUCGUUGCACGGAGGAGUAAACAGCCUGAUUUACUCAUCUGUAGCUUUUGAGUAGCAGAGAGGAAUCUGCUGCCAAUUUAUUGUGUUCAUUCUGACCUUCUGUUAAUCCUCUUUUGUUUGCUAAAUUUGCAGGCUGAAGUAAGCACUUUUGAUUUAAUCCGGAUUAAACUCCUGUUUAAUCCAGUUUAUCCUUUUUGAACCGUUUUAGUUCAAACGGAGCUGUUUUGUUACUUUUCACACUGAAGUCAAGUGUUUGCCUAAUCCUUUGUUUCCUACGGGCAUUUUCAGUUUUGUAACCUCAAUAAACUGAGUUUUACUCUA